RNAcentral lists this ribosomal RNA (465 nucleotides) under uncultured bacterium. Its description in RNAcentral is "partial 16S ribosomal RNA". It matches the Rfam family "Bacterial small subunit ribosomal RNA", at positions 28 to 507 of the family's 1533-position model. The record is from RNAcentral.
GACGAACGCUGGCGGCGUGCUUAACACAUGCAAGUCGAACGGAAAGGCCCUGCUUGCAGGGUACUCUAGUGGCGAACGGGUGAGUAACACGUGGGUGAUCUGCCCUGCACUUCGGGAUAAGCCUGGGAAACUGGGUCUAAUACCGGAUAGGAGCCAUUUUUAGUGUGAUGGUUGGAAAGUUUUUUCGGUGUAGGAUGAGCUCGCGGCCUAUCAGCUUGUUGGUGGGGUAAUGGCCUACCAAGGCGGCGACGGGUAGCCGGCCUGAGAGGGUGGACGGCCACAUUGGGGCUGAGAUACGGCCCAGACUCCUACGGGAGGCAGCAGUGGGGAAUAUUGCACAAUGGGCGCAAGCCUGAUGCAGCGACGCCGCGGGGGGGAUGACGGCCUUCGGGUUGUAAACUCCUUUCGCUAGGGAAGAAGCUUUGUGUGACGGUACCUAGAUAAGAAGCACCGGCUAACUACGUG